This is a long non-coding RNA of Herpailurus yagouaroundi (jaguarundi), 785 nucleotides long. RefSeq lists it as uncharacterized. The record is from RefSeq and is a predicted model, not a curated record. The transcript has 4 exons. NCBI's taxonomy places the organism in Eukaryota, Metazoa, Chordata, Mammalia, Carnivora, Felidae.
AGCUCCUCGUUUUGACGCUGCCAUCGCGCUUACCUGUCCCUGCAGCGCCACCUCUGUGCCGUCAGGAAUACAGCCGAUUCUUGUAGCACCGCGGAAGAAGGCAUAGAAAAUGGACAAUUGACAAAUAUGGAGCUGAAACAUUUUCUUUCACUUUCACUUUCCAUCAUCUGGAAGGAGCAAGAAAGGGAACUAAAUUUUUGGAGUGGCUCUUCUAAGAACCAGGUUUGGUGGCUGAGAAAUCCCAGAUCAAGAUGCUGGCAGUGGCAGUGUUAGUAUCUAGUGAAGAUCCACUUCCUGGUGUCACCUUUUUGCUGUGUCCUCACAUGGUGGGAGAGUGUUUUCCAGAGAACUUCUUAGCAAGAAUGGCUGCUGUGUCCUUCUCUGUUGGUGCCAUACCCCUGUUCCUGCUCCAUCACCAUCGUUCCCUUCUGGAAAAGUUUAGAAGCUCCUCCCCUCUUUUUAGGUGGGGAAACAUGGGUUGAGUUGCCUUAGCAGCACCUCACACUGUAAUUAAACACUCUCAUUUUAUAGAUGACAAAAUGGAGGUCCAGAGAUGGAGUUUCCUGGCUCCUAGCUCAGUGCUCUUUAAGCUACACUCUAAUGGAAGCAUCUCCACACAGUCUGUGAGCUUAGUAAUCAUGGGCUGUGGCGUAGAAAAGAAGAGUUGUGGAGUUAGAAGCACUUUUCUCUCACUAGUUUUUCAGAUUCCAUACCUGUUAAAAAGGUCAAUCCGUAUGUGGGUCAGUGAUUUUCCACUUUUGUUUAAAUAAAUGAGGAAUGUGAGA